GAUGAACGCUGGCGGCGUGCUUAACACAUGCAAGUCGAACGAUGAAGCCCAGCUUGCUGGGUGGAUUAGUGGCGAACGGGUGAGUAACACGUGAGUAACCUGCCCUUAACUCUGGGAUAAGCCUGGGAAACUGGGUCUAAUACCGGAUAGGAGCGUCCACCGCAUGGUGGGUGUUGGAAAGAUUUAUCGGUUUUGGAUGGACUCGCGGCCUAUCAGCUUGUUGGUGAGGUAAUGGCUCACCAAGGCGACGACGGGUAGCCGGCCUGAGAGGGUGACCGGCCACACUGGUACUGAGACACGGAGCAGACUCCUACGAGAGGCAACAGUGGAAAAUAUUGCACAAUAGGAGCAAGCCUGAUGCAGCGACGCCGCGUGAGGGAUGACGGCCUUCGGGUUAUAAACCUCUUUCAGUAGGGAAGAAGCGAAAGUGACGGUACCUGCAGCAGAAGCACCGGCUAACUACGUG
RNAcentral lists this ribosomal RNA (466 nucleotides) under uncultured bacterium. RNAcentral's name for it is "partial 16S ribosomal RNA". It matches the Rfam family "Bacterial small subunit ribosomal RNA", at positions 28 to 507 of the family's 1533-position model. The record is from RNAcentral.